Rattus norvegicus (Norway rat) is the source of this 1105-nucleotide non-coding RNA. Lineage: Eukaryota; Metazoa; Chordata; Mammalia; Rodentia; Muridae. The record is from RefSeq and is a predicted model, not a curated record.
AGGGUCUUAAAUGUAUAACGGUCAAGGUGACAGUUUUAGCUUUCUACCGCCAACUCCUCAAUGGACAUAGCACUGGCUACCCUGUAACAUCAGCUCUCAGUUCCUGCCUUCCAAGAUUGGGGAUCAGGAGAGAAGGAGAGUCCAUGUUCGGAAGGAAUCUGUCUGCCCAACUGCACUCGAGACCAAGUCAUAUCUUCACCUUUCUUAAUCAAACAUCUAAAGCAAAGCUUCCUGACUUCUGAUAAAAUUCCGAGUCUGAGGUAACCCUCGGGGAUAGCGAAAAUCAGACUCCAGCCCAGGCCACAGUCUUUGGCUGCAACCGAGUUUGAAAAUGCUUAGGUGGGACAUAGAGCCUGUCGUAGUCAAAGGCCACCCCGUUCCCUGUGCAGUUCCUUCUCCUUCAUUCACUGAAGCAGAAGGCUCCCAGGGGUACCCAAUGGAGAAGAAAGUUUGUAGUCAAGUUUUGAACAAAUUGGAAACACCUCUGUUCCUGGCUUCUAAUCAUCACAACCCCUGAUAGCGUCGGAAUGUGUGAGGCCAGUCACAAGCGCACCUCCGGUGAGGCUUCUGCAUUCAGGUCUAUGGGUGUCUCAAUCACCAGCUCUCUCAAAGGCUCAGCCAUGUCUGUCAUGUUCCCAUGCAUGGUCCUGACUCCUGGACACUCGUGGGCCAUAGUAUCCUUAAGAGCAACUUUCUUCCAGUGAGGAGAGAAACUCAUUAAACACACCUCCUGUCUCUGCUUGUUUCUUCAGCUCCCUUUCUUUUGAUCUUCAGAAAGCAACCGAUAAAAGAACCAGUUUCACCCAAAAAAGGAAACGAAAAUAAACGUUUAAAAGCAUGCUGUAAUAUCCACACCCGGCUGGCACCUUACAUUAAACAAAAAAGGGAAAAGGAAUUUUAUCUGAAUAUUGCUAGGUUUCGGGGAUGGGGGGGUUUAAAAAUCUCCCUUAAUAAUCGUGCCCAUUUGAUGCGGUGGUCAACAACUGUGGGAAAUAAUGAAAAUCUGUGGAAAAUGGGUUUUUGAUGCAAUGAUCUUAGCAGCUUUUUAAAAGAUAAUGGAACAAGUUUUUAAAAAUCACCCUAAGUAUUAAAAUUCAUAGCCUGA